Molecule: non-coding RNA, 748 nt
Organism: Momordica charantia (bitter melon)
Lineage: Eukaryota; Viridiplantae; Streptophyta; Magnoliopsida; Cucurbitales; Cucurbitaceae
Source: RefSeq, a predicted model, not a curated record
GCCACUGCCGCAGCCUGCAACAGGAGCCAGUUGCAUUGGACACCCAACUCCCUCCGGCUUACCAGGUGAGGCUGCAAAUCAUGUGGGUAGCUAAGUGCAAAUGGAGAAAUCUGCAAUUUAUUGGAUUAGAGCUUAUUCAGUAGAAGAAUGAUGAUCAUAAACAUAAAAUUGGUGGGGACUAUUUUGGUUUAGAAGUGUUUGGAACAGGAACACAACAAAGUUGAACUAGUACAAAGCUUGAGAGAUGCUUACAAGGCAUUACUUGUUUGGAUACAGAUUAAAUAAUUUAUUGUCUGAUGAAAAAAGUGUUGGGAUUGUAAAGUGUGUUACAAUCAAAGCCUCACAUCGAUUAGUGAAGAGAGAGAUCUAUGGUAUAUAGAUAAAGAUAAUUAUUUUCAUUGAUACGAGAUUUUUUUUGGUGAAAUCAAAAGCAAAGUCGUGAGGGCUAUGUUCAAAGUGAACAAUAUCAUACAAUUAUUAUCAUAUCAUACAAUUAUGGAGAUAUUUGGGAUAUGAGAGUUGGCAGACAGGUCGUGGGUGUGGAAUUGUUGAGUGGGGUGGGGCUAUUUCCCAACUUUGGGUGUAAAUUGCUGACUCGUUUCCUAGUCAGAUUCUUUAAGGAGAGUUUUUUUCUGCAUCAGCUUGUAUGUGUCCGAAUCUUUGAUUGAUGAGAAACGACGACACAGAGUAUAAAGAGGCUAUCUUGUCUUCAUUUGAAAGAAAGAAAUGCAGGCAACUUAUUCCGUCA